CCUACGGGUGGCAGCAGUGAGGAAUAUUGGUCAAUGGACGGAAGUCUGAACCAGCCAUGCCGCGUGCAGGAAGACGGCCCUAUGAGUUGUAAACUGCUUUUGUACAAGGGUAAACCUGAAUACGUGUAUUCAGCUGAAAGUACUGUACGAAUAAGGAUCGGCUAACUCCGUGCCAGCAGCCGCGGCACUACGGAGGAUCCAAGCGUUAUCCGGAUUUAUUGGGUUUAAAGGGUGCGUAGGCGGAUUGAUAAGUUAGAGGUGAAAUGUCCGAGCUUAACUCGGGAACUGCCUCUAAUACUGGUGAGCUAGAGAGUAGAUGCGGUAGGCAGAAUGUAUGGUGUAGCGGUGAAAUGCUUAGAGAUCAUACAGAACACCGAUUGCGAAGGCAGCUUACCAAUCGAAGUCUGACGUUGAGGCACGAAAGCGGGGGGAGCAAACAGGAUUAGAUACCCGAGUAGUC
This 460-nucleotide ribosomal RNA is filed under the name uncultured bacterium. Its description in RNAcentral is "partial 16S ribosomal RNA". It matches the Rfam family "Bacterial small subunit ribosomal RNA", at positions 338 to 795 of the family's 1533-position model. The record is from RNAcentral.